Cryptotermes secundus is the source of this 2594-nucleotide RNA transcript. It is a transcript of the gene named magnesium transporter NIPA2, with no coding region annotated. The transcript is spliced from 7 exons. Lineage: Eukaryota; Metazoa; Arthropoda; Insecta; Blattodea; Kalotermitidae. The record is from RefSeq and is a predicted model, not a curated record.
GUGGUAUGUUCUGUAAUCUGUGGUGCUGAGGAAUCAUGGUCACAAGAUUUGUUCUAUGAUAAAAGUGGAGAUACUAUGACGAUAAGGUUCCAGGCUAAUAAAGUUCCUGUCAUGGCAUUCGACAACCCUGAGGUUGUAAGUGAACGUACUCCUGUUUUCAGUCAGCCAUAUGACAAGACAGAAUUUUAUAUUGGAUUAUGUUUGGCUAUCAGUUCCAGUGUAUUCAUAGGUUCCAGUUUCAUCAUAAAAAAGAAGGCACUGAUUCGUCUGAACCGGACAGGAGCUGUGCGUGCUAGUGCAGGGGGCUUCGGGUAUCUUAGAGAAUGGAUUUGGUGGGCAGGGUUACUUUCAAUGGGCGUGGGUGAGGCUGCCAACUUUGCAGCUUAUGCAUUUGCCCCUGCAUCUCUGGUGACACCGUUAGGAGCACUGAGUGUACUUGUGGCUGCCAUUUUGUCUUCCCGAUUCCUUAAUGAGAAUUUGAACCUAUUAGGAAAGAUAGGAUGUGUGUUGUGCGUGCUAGGCUCCACAGUGAUUGUAAUUCAUUCUCCAAAGGAAGAGGAAGUGGAGAGUCUGUCGGAGUUGCUCACUAAAUUGCAGGAUCCCGGUUUUAUCACGUACGUGGUGGCCGUUGUGUCCUUGUCCGUGUUCAUCGCUUUGUGCGUGGGACCUCGGUAUGGGCAUCAGAACGUGGUGGUGUACAUCACGCUCUGCUCGGCUGUGGGCUCGCUAACCGUGAUGGCCUGCAAAGGGCUGGGGCUCGCUCUCAAGGAGACGCUUUAUGGCGAGCGUAACGAGAUGGGCAACUGGCUGACCUGGAUCUUCCUCUGGACUGUCAUGCUGUGUAUCACAGUUCAGAUGAAUUACCUCAACAAGGCACUGGACUUGUUCAACACAGGCAUUGUGACCCCGGUGUACUAUGUCCUCUUCACAACCCUUGUGAUUGUUGCAUCCACUAUUCUGUUCAGGGAGUGGCAGCACCUCAAUGGGGAGGACAUGCUCGGGAACUUAUGUGGGUUCCUUACGAUUAUUAUGGGUAUUGUCCUUCUGAAUGCGUUCAAAGACAUGGAUGUCUCAAUGCUUGAUGUUCGGGGCCUUAUGCGGCCAAAACAUGAUAUGUUGUUACCAUGUAGUGAUGAUAGAGGAGGUUUAUGGGCAUCCUAUGGUAGCCCUCAUGUGACACACAACUCCAUUUGACCUUCUGCCUCCAUGUCACGCAUAAAGAACCUGUGAAUUCAAAGUCUGAACUUCCUAGAUGAUUCGUUGAAGAAGAGAAUUGCUGAAAUUGUGGUUGUAGAUAUACGCAGUAUUUAUUAUUAGAUUAGAUAUCAUUUGUCAUCACUGCGAUUUGUGCCAAUGUUGUGUAGAACACAAAGGACUUUGCCAAAGUAAGUAAAAUGCACCCAUGAGUGAAAGAAAUAUACAGAGAGAGAGAGAACAAGGCUGCCGGCUGUUGGUGACGUGACACUAGCAUGAUGUGAGAGCUAGCAUCUGAACAUCUUGGAGACUUAAUACUGCUGUUUGGACAGUGCAAGGGUUGUGCUCCUGCAGAUCGCUAUGUCAGAAACGCGCAGAACAGGAAACGUGCUGAACAGACACUGAAUGCUUUGAAGGAGGAACAGGAAGUGACUCGACUGAGUCAGGGAAACUGAGCAGUGCGUGCUGCAACUUCUGCCAUGGCCACAGAAAGGUCAGUGAUGCCCCUCGUGACACAAUCGAAACCAUGUAUACGAAAAUAUGGAUAAAAUCAUAACUCUUUGUUUAUAAUUCUGUACGUUUUGGUUUGUCACCAGUUUCCAUAAAUCAGUUGUUUUUGUAAUCUGUACACAGAAUGAGAUCCUACCAGGAAUAGUGUGACCACUAUCAUCUGGAAAGUGCUGCUCUCCCUAAUGCCGUUGAUCCUUCGCCAGAAGUGUGUUCGAGUACAUACGAGGCGCCCCGCUAUCCCCAGUGGUACACUUAUUAUGUGACAUCAGAUUGAAUGCCAUGUCAAACAGAAUGACACCUUGAUAUUCCUUCUAUGCAUAACAUUUUGCCUUUGUGACAGUUAAGCGAAGGGAAAGCUCAAGGAAAUAUAAAUAAUAUACAUCUCAAAACUGAGCUCUCUGCGGGUGGACUCCAACCUUUAUGUAGCCGGAGGUGCCGGGUAUUGAGUGAGCUUGAAGUGACAUGUAUCUAAUUUGCUAGCUGCCAAGCGAAUGUAUCUGUCCUGGGUCCGGGUGUGUAUGAUUCUUCUGCUCAAGCCCAUGUAUGUGAAAGAAACUAUAAUUGGGAUGCCAAACCUUUUUGUUGUUUAGCGCCAAAAUACAUAAUAGUGCGGGCCAUUGAAGCGCACGCGUUCAUUUUGUUUGUGAGGUGGUUUCUGAAAUCUGCUGGAUUUGAGGUUCUCCGCAGCAGUGACCCUGAAGAGUACUGUCUCCUUCAGUAUGAUCUCGUGAGUGUGGUAGAAAUUAGUGAUAUUUCAGAGGAAUAUACAGCCUCCAUCUUCAGUGUCAAAGAGUUAAGUCAAACAAGUAGUUGGUUAGACUUGAAAGGAUUCUGACGAUGGUGUAUACUGUACUUCUUUUGCUUAUUUUGGACUUCAUCCAUCGUCUGGU